Molecule: transfer RNA, 359 nt
Filed under: uncultured Microcystis sp.
Lineage: Bacteria; Bacillati; Cyanobacteriota; Cyanophyceae; Chroococcales; Microcystaceae
Description: partial 16S-23S ribosomal RNA intergenic spacer
Rfam family: tRNA (bases 134-207)
Source: RNAcentral
AAAGGGAGACCUAAUUCGGGUAUAAGACGAAAAAAUAGUAGUCGAAACCAAGAAUCAAUCCCAAAAGGUCGGAACGAGGUAUGUGGCUUUCAAACUAGGUUCUGGGUUCAUAAAAGACCUGAAUCAGGAACAAGGGCUAUUAGCUCAGGUGGUUAGAGCGCACCCCUGAUAAGGGUGAGGUCCCUGGUUCGAGUCCAGGAUGGCCCACCUGCACAGGUGGCAAAAACAAGAGAAGCGAGGAAUCAGCACCUUAUCUUACUUAUAUAGUAAGAGAGAAUGCUGGCUCUGAGUAAAGAGUCCAGAGGAACCUUGAAAACUGCAUAGAGCUAGGUGAAAAAGCCAAAAAAGAAGACCGCAAG